This 297-nucleotide ribosomal RNA is filed under the name uncultured Chloroflexota bacterium. RNAcentral describes it as "uncultured Chloroflexi bacterium partial 16S ribosomal RNA". It matches the Rfam family "Bacterial small subunit ribosomal RNA", at positions 100 to 392 of the family's 1533-position model. Lineage: Bacteria; Bacillati; Chloroflexota. The record is from RNAcentral.
GGGUUGAGUAACGCGUUUGGUGACCUGCCCCGANGUUCUGGGAUAACCCUGNAAAAGUUGGGGCUAAUCCCGGAUGUGGUCAUCGGANUUUAGAANCCGAUGUCUAAAGGAUUUUUUUCGCUUCGGGAGGGGCCUGCGUCCNAUCAGCUAGUUGGUAGGGUANUGGCCUACCAAGGCNACGACGGGUUAGGGGACCUCANAGGNUGGCCCCCACANUGGAACUGAAACCCGGUCCAUACACCUACGGGUGGCAGCANUAGGGAAUAUUGCACAUUGGCCNAAAGNCUUGAUGCANCA